Pelobates cultripes (western spadefoot toad) is the source of this 115-nucleotide non-coding RNA. NCBI's taxonomy places the organism in Eukaryota, Metazoa, Chordata, Amphibia, Anura, Pelobatidae. The record is from the annotation of a GenBank genome assembly.
UCUCUCGAUAUGUUAGGGUUUUGCUCAACACUUCUCUCAUAUUGCGGUAUAGAAAGGGUAGAAAUACCAUGGAGAGGAGGGGAGUUGAGCAAAACCCUAACAUAUCGAGAGAUGU